RNAcentral lists this unclassified non-coding RNA (199 nucleotides) under Oplurus cyclurus. RNAcentral describes it as "partial contains 16S ribosomal RNA and tRNA-Leu". Lineage: Eukaryota; Metazoa; Chordata; Lepidosauria; Squamata. The record is from RNAcentral.
UGACUGAGGCUUUCUUCAGUACGAAAGGACCAAGAAAGCAGGACCAAUGCCAACCGUACGUCCUAACAAAAGAGCUGAAGCCAACUCAAACUGCCCCUCACAAUACAACCGAAGACAACGGUUUAGUUAGGGUGGCAGAGCCAAGUAUUGCAAAAGACCUAAGAUCUUUCUAACAGAAGUGCAAGUCUUCUUCCUAACC